RNAcentral lists this ribosomal RNA (428 nucleotides) under uncultured bacterium. RNAcentral describes it as "partial 16S ribosomal RNA". It matches the Rfam family "Bacterial small subunit ribosomal RNA", at positions 354 to 796 of the family's 1533-position model. The record is from RNAcentral.
ACUAGGAAUUUUGCGCAAUGGGGGCAACCCUGACGCAGCGACACAGCGUGGAGGAGGAAGGUCUUCGGAUUGUAAACUCCUUUUAUAUGGGAAGAAUAGAUGACUGUACCAUAUGAAUAAGCACCUGCUAACUACGUGCCAGAAGCAUCGGUGAUGCGUAGGGUGCGAACGUUAUCCGGAUUUAUUGGGCGUAAAGAGAUGCGUAGGCGUUUCAGUUAGUCUUUCGUUAAAAGUCACGGCUUAACCGUGAAGAUGCGUUGGAUACUGCUGAAAUUGAGACAUGAAGGUGUGAACGGAACUCCAAGUGGAGCGGUGAAAUGCGUUGAUAUUUGGAAGAACAUCAGAGGCGAAGGCGGUUCACUGGUCAUUGUCUGACGCUAAGGCUCGAAAGCGUGGGUAGCAAAACGGAUUAGAUACCCUGGUAGUCC